UGAAUACGAGACGCUAAGGCGUCGAAGUAGUGUAUGUCAUACUUCCAAGAAAAGCUUGCACUGUCAUAAGUAAAAAAUGCCUGUACCAUAACCGACACAGGUGGGUAGGUAGAGUAUACUAAGGGGCGCGAGAUAACUCUCUCUAAGGAACUCGGCAAAAUAACUCCGUAACUUCGGGAGAAGGAGUACCUUAUUCUAUAAGGUUGCAAUAACAAGAUCCAAGCAACUGUUUAUCAAAAACACAGGUCUCCGCUAAGUCGUAAGACGAUGUAUGGGGGCUGACGCCUGCCCAGUGCCAGAAGGUUAAAGAAGUCGGUUAGCAUUAGCGAAGCUGGUAACUGAAGCCCUGGUGAACGGCGGCCGUAACUAUAACGGUCCUAAGGUAGCGAAAUUCCUUGUCGGGUAAGUUCCGACCCGCACGAAAGGCGUAAUGAUUUGGAUACUGUCUCGGAGAGGGGCUCGGUGAAAUAGACUUGUCUGUGAAGAUGCGGACUACCUGCACCAGGACAGAAAGACCCUAUGAAGCUUUACUGUAACUUGAAAUUGAAAUUGGACUUUAUUCGCGCAGUAUAGGUGGGAGGUGUUGAUUAUAAUCUUGCGGGAUUAUUGGAGCCAUCAGUGAGAUACCACUCUUGUAAUGUUAGAUUUCUAACUUUGAAUCAUUAUCUGGUCAAAGGACAGUUUCAGGCGGGCAGUUUGACUGGGGCGGUCGCCUCCCAAACGGUAACGGAGGCGUACAAAGGUUUCCUCUGAACGGGUAGAAAUCGUAUCUAGAGUGUAAAGGCAUAAGGAAGCUUGACUGUGAGACCUACAAGUCGAACAGGGACGAAAGUCGGUCUUAGUGAUCUGACGGUACUGAGUGGAAAGGCCGUCACUCAACGGAUAAAAGUUACUCUAAGGAUAACAGGCUGAUCUCCCCCAAGAGUUCACAUCGACGGGGAGGUUUGGCACCUUGACGUCGGCUCAUCGCAUCCUGGGGCGGUAGUACGUCCCAAGGGUUGGGCUGUUCGCCCAUGAAAGCGGUACGCGAGCUGGGUUCAGAACGUCGUGAGACAGUUCGGUCCAUAUCCGGUGUAGGCGUUAGAAUAUUGAGAGGAGCCUUCUUUAGUACGAGAGGACCGAGAAGGACAUACCUCUGGUGUACCAGUUAUCGUGCCAACGGUAAACGCUGGGUAGCUAUGUAUGGAGUGGAUAACCGCUGAAAGCAUCUAAGUGGGAAGCCCACCUCAAGAUAAG
Molecule: ribosomal RNA, 1236 nt
Filed under: metagenome
Description: bacterial LSU rRNA
Rfam family: Bacterial large subunit ribosomal RNA
Source: RNAcentral